AUAAAUGUAAACUGGUGGUGGCGGUGAUUUCACUGGAGGGGGAGGUGAUUUGUAAAUGUAUGUGGGAGCCGGAGAUGGGGAUGGAGGAGGUGGUGAUGUGUAGUGGUAUGGAGGUGGAGGAGAUUUUAUAGGUGGGGGAGGACUCACAUAAUGGUAAGGAGGUGGAGGAGACGACGUUGGUGGUGGAGGGGAUUUGUAGUAGUAGGGAGUACGAGGAGUGGGAGAUGGUGGAGGAGGACUUUGAUAGUGAUAAGGAGGUGGUGGAGAUGGAGAUGGAGGUGGGGGAGAUUUGUAAUAGUAAGGAGGUGGAGGUGACGGGGAUGGUGGUGGAGGUGAUUUGUAAUAGUAGGGAGGUGGUGGAGAUGGCGAUGGUGGUGGUGGAGAGUGAUAGUAGUAUGGGGGAGGAGGGGACGGAGAAGGUGGGGGUGGGCUCUUGUAAUAGUAUGGAGGUGGAGGAGAUGGAGAUGGUGGAGGGGGACUCUUGUAGUAGUAAGGAGGUGGUGGAGAUGGCGAUGGUGGUGGUGGAGAGUGGUAGUAGUAUGGGGGAGGAGGGGAGGGAGACGGUGGAGGUGGACUCUUGUAAUAGUACGGAGGUGGAGGGGAUGGAGAUGGUGGAGGGGGACUCUUGUAAUAGUAUGGAGGUGGAGGUGAUGGGGAUGGUGGUGGAGGUGAUUUGUAGUAAUAAGGAGGUGGUGGAGAUGGCGAUGGUGGUGGUGGAGACUUGUAGUAGUAAGGUGGGGGAGGGGAUGGUGAGGGUGGUGGAGGAGAUUUGUAAUAGUAUGGAGGUGGAGGGGAUGGUGAUGGUGGAGGUGGUGACUUGUAAUAGUAUGGUGGAGGAGGGGAUGGUGAUGGUGGUGGUGGAGACUUGUAGUAGUAAGGUGGGGGAGGGGAUGGUGAAGGUGGUGGAGGAGACUUGUAGUAGUAAGGUGGGGGAGGGGAUGGUGAAGGUGGUGGAGGAGACUUGUAGUAGUAAGGUGGGGGAGGGGAUGGUGAAGGUGGUGGAGGAGACUUGUAAUAGUAUGGUGGAGGAGGGGAUGGUGAUGGUGGGGGUGGUGACUUAUAGUAGUAUGGUGGGUGUGGAAUUUCUUUAGGUGGGGGAGGAGAAUGAUAAUAGUAUGGUGGAGGGGGGGAUGAUCUUGGAGGUGGAGGAGAUUUGUAAUAGUAUAAGGUGGGGGAGGGGAUGGUGAAGGUGGUGGAGGAGACUUGUAGUAGUAAGGUGGGGGAGGGGAUGGUGAAGGUGGUGGAGGAGACUUGUAAUAGUAUGGUGGAGGAGGGGAUGGUGAUGGUGGGGGUGGUGACUUAUAGUAGUAUGGUGGGUGUGGAAUUUCUUUAGGUGGGGGAGGAGAAUGAUAAUAGUAUGGUGGAGGGGGGGAUGAUCUUGGAGGUGGAGGAGAUUUGUAAUAGUAUGGAGGUGGAGGGGAUGGAGAUGGUGGUGGUGGAGACUUGUAGUAAUAAGGUGGAGAAUAAUAAUGGACGGGUGGAGGCGGAGAUUUGUACUUAUAGACUGGUGUUGGAGGAGGAGGUGAUUUGUAGUAGUAAGGAGGGUUAGGUAUAGGUGAUGGUGGAGGUGGAGACUUGUAGUAAUAUGGAGGAGAAUAGUAAUGUACAGGUGGAGGUGGAGACUUGUACACGUAAGUAGGUGAUGGUGGAGGUGGUGACUUGUACAAGUAAGUAGGUGAUGGUGGAGGAGGUGAUUUGUACAAGUAAGUUGGUGAUGGUGGUGGUGGGGAAUUGUACUUGUAAACUGGUGUUGGAGGAGGAGGUGACUUGUAGUAGUAAGGAGGUGUAGGUACAGGAGAUGGUGGAGGUGGAGAAUUGUAAUAAUAAGGGGGUGAUUUCACAGGAGGGGGAGGUGACUUGUAGUAAUACGGAGGAGAAUAAUAAUGGACAGGCGGAGGGGGUGACUUGUACGUGUAAGUUGGUGACGGUGGAGGCGGUGACUUGUAUAUGUAAACUGGUGUAGGAGGAGGAG
RNAcentral lists this long non-coding RNA (1972 nucleotides) under Cicer arietinum (chickpea). RNAcentral's name for it is "long non-coding RNA (CARI_LNC001102)". The record is from RNAcentral. Lineage: Eukaryota; Viridiplantae; Streptophyta; Magnoliopsida; Fabales; Fabaceae.